AUGCUCUCUUCAGCAGCACAUACACUAAAAUUGGAAUGACAGAGAGAUUAGCGUGGCCCCUCAUAAGGAUGACGUGCAAAUCCCAUGGAGUGCUCCAUAUUUAG
Molecule: small nuclear RNA, 104 nt
Organism: Nannospalax galili (Upper Galilee mountains blind mole rat)
Lineage: Eukaryota; Metazoa; Chordata; Mammalia; Rodentia; Spalacidae
Source: Ensembl